ACGACCUUACUUGAACAGGAUCUGUUCUAUAGGCUCGUACCGCUGCAUCCUUUACCAAUAAGGAGGCAAGCACUUCAGUCCGGUUGAUGCAAUCUGACCACUGGGCCAGAGCGUGAUUAACGGCCUGGAUUCAUCUGACGGCUGUAGAGGAUCGUUCCUGCCUGGCUCAUGCCUGUGCAGGGUGGCCCAGUGGUUGUCUGACAGACU
This is a small nucleolar RNA of Triticum urartu, 207 nucleotides long. RefSeq annotates it as small nucleolar RNA U3. NCBI's taxonomy places the organism in Eukaryota, Viridiplantae, Streptophyta, Magnoliopsida, Poales, Poaceae. The record is from RefSeq and is a predicted model, not a curated record.